GACGAACCGUGCGAACGUUGUUCGGAUUCACUGGGCUUAAAGGGCGCGUAGGCGGGUGAUCAAGUCCGGGGUGAAAUCCUUCAGCUCAACUGGAGAAUAGCCUUGGAUACUGGUCGCCUCGAGGGAGGUAGGGGCGGGCGGAACUUCCGGUGGAGCGGUGAAAUGCGUAGAUAUCGGGAGGAACACCUGUGGCGAAAGCGGCGCACUGGACCACAACUGACGCUGAGGCGCGAAAGCUAGGGGAGCAAACAGG
RNAcentral lists this ribosomal RNA (253 nucleotides) under uncultured bacterium. RNAcentral describes it as "partial 16S ribosomal RNA". It matches the Rfam family "Bacterial small subunit ribosomal RNA", at positions 524 to 776 of the family's 1533-position model. The record is from RNAcentral.